RNAcentral lists this long non-coding RNA (822 nucleotides) under Oryzias javanicus (javanese ricefish). Its description in RNAcentral is "lncRNA (ENSOJAG00000019295.1)". The record is from RNAcentral. Lineage: Eukaryota; Metazoa; Chordata; Actinopteri; Beloniformes; Adrianichthyidae.
ACUUUUUAAGCUCCUCUUGUUGUUGGAGUUCUCAUUCAGUGUCUGACAAGAUGGGAGCUGAGUCAGUGUUGGUCUUUGUCAUUCUGGCUGUUUGCUCUGGCAUUGGUAUGUAUUUUAUUAAUUUCUUAAAAGCAAUUCUGUUCUUUUAUACCCCAAACUCAGGAAUCUCCUCUUUGAGUAACAGCCUUGGUCUUCUGCAGUCAGUGGAUUCCAGUGUAAAUAACAUUAAAGAAGUUCAAAUGGAAACCAAUGAGGUAGAAGCUGAGACGUCACUUAAGAGACUUGGAAACGUUUGGACUAGCAUAGCCGCUAGACGCCAGUCCGACGCCGCCAGCAACCAGACUGUGUCCGACGCCGCCAGCAACCAGACUGUGUCCGACGCCGCCAGCAACCAGACUGUGUCCGACGCCGCCAGCAACCAGACUGUGUCCGACGCCGCCAGCAACCAGACUGUGUCCGACCGCCAGCAACCAGACUGUGUCCGACGCCGCCAGCAACCAGACUGUGUCCGACGCCGCAGCAACCAGACUGUGUCCGACGCCGCCAGCAACCAGACUGUGUCCGACGCCGCGCAGCAACCAGACUGUGUCCGACGCCGCCAGCAACCAGACUGUGUCCGACGCCGCCAGCAACCAGACUGUGUCCGACGCCGCCAGCAACCAGACUGUGUCCGACGCCGCCAGCGGUUUCUUCUUUUGGUGAUCAGUCUUUUGCUUUGUAUUUCAAAUAAAUCAAUUUUAAUCGUAUGGGAACUUUCUACUUUUCUUUUGACCUUGUUGUCUGUCCCUCCAGUAGAGUUCGUGAAGAUAAAGGGAAGUUGGU